AUUGAACGCUGGCGGCAUGCCUUACACAUGCAAGUCGAACGGCAGCACGGGAGCAAUCCUGGUGGCGAGUGGCGAACGGGUGAGUAAUAUAUCGGAACGUGCCCAGUCGUGGGGGAUAACGUAGCGAAAGCUACGCUAAUACCGCAUACGAUCCAUGGAUGAAAGCGGGGGAUCGCAAGACCUCGAGCGAUUGGAGCGGCCGAUAUCAGAUUAGGUAGUUGGUGGGGUAAAGGCUCACCAAGCCGACGAUCUGUAGCUGGUCUGAGAGGACGACCAGCCACACUGGGACUGAGACACGGCCCAGACUCCUACGGGAGGCAGCAGUGGGGAAUUUUGGACAAUGGGCGCAAGCCUGAUCCAGCAAUGCCGCGUGCAGGAUGAAGGCCUUCGGGUUGUAAACUGCUUUUGUACGGAACGAAACGGCGAGCUCUAAUUCAGUUCGCUAAUGACGGUACCGUAAGAAUAAGCACCGGCUAACUACGUGCCAGCAGCCGCCGUAA
This 500-nucleotide ribosomal RNA is filed under the name uncultured bacterium. Its description in RNAcentral is "partial 16S ribosomal RNA". It matches the Rfam family "Bacterial small subunit ribosomal RNA", at positions 30 to 523 of the family's 1533-position model. The record is from RNAcentral.